This is a non-coding RNA of Podarcis lilfordi (Lilford's wall lizard), 2661 nucleotides long. NCBI's taxonomy places the organism in Eukaryota, Metazoa, Chordata, Lepidosauria, Squamata, Lacertidae. The record is from the annotation of a GenBank genome assembly.
AUUGGAAAGAAGCUAAUGCACAUACAUCAAGUGAAGAUUGGGAGUAAAGACUGCUGAUCAAUGGGAUCUCUGUGAGCGGAGCGACGGGCUGGAAAAAUAAAUCAAGUGAAGAAUCAUCAUUAAAAGACUGGUAUGUCGGAGUGAAACGGAAAGGAGGGGGAGAAAAAAACUUUUCUUUUUGUGUCUUAUGUGAGUACCAAUAACCCUCCCCUCCAGAGAGAAGAAUCGUUGCGAUUAUUAAUCACAAGCAGGAGACCAAGAACUGUGUGGGAAUGAAUUACUGAUUAAAGAGAGGACUGGUGGAAACAUCGGGGAAUGGAAGGAAAGUUUUAUGACGCAGUUAUAAAUGGAGUUUCGUGAGACAGGCUUGCCUAAGGAGGACGAGAGGGAGGAGAACCAGGGUCAUUGGAAUGUGAAUGUAUGGUUAUUGGAAUGUUAUCUUGACCUGGCAGGGCCCUCUGAGAUAUAGAUUGGCAAGCCUGUGAAUCAACGGACAGACUGUGGGAAUAUUUUUAACGGAGGUGUGGAAAUGGUGUCUGUCCUUUAUGUGAUAUGACUAUUGGAGAGUGUAAAACCCACACAGGAGAUGUUUGUCUUUCACCCGCUUGUGAAGAUUAUCAGAGAUCACAAAGAAAGGAAUAUAUGAUAACAACAAGAAGAUGAAGAAAAUAACAAAAAGACUAUCUGGACAGAACUGGAUAGAACUGUUUAAUCAAAGCAGCAGCAAGAGUGAUGUUUGGACCCCUUUCGGAGCUUGAAGUAUGGGUAACCCCAACAAAAAUUUUAAAAAUUUGGCUGUAUAAUUUGGAAUUAAUGUGAUUUAAUUGGCCUGUUAAUAAAAAUUAUUUAAAAAAACCACCAAACAAACCACAGAGCCUAGGGCUUGCUGAUCAGAAGGUCGGCGGUUCGAAUCCCCGCGACGGGGUGAGCUCCCGUUGCUCGGUCCCUGCUCCUGCCAACCUAGCAGUUUGAAAGCAUAUCAAAGUGCAAGUAGAUAAAUAGGUACCGCUCCGGCGGGAAGGUAAACGGUGUUUCCGUGCGCUGCUCUGGUUCACCAGAAGUGGCUUAGUCAUGCUGGCCACAUGACCCGGAAGCUGUACGCCGGCUCCCUCGGCCAGUAAAGCGAGAUGAGCACCACAACCCCAGAGUCGGCCACGACUGGACCUAAUGGUCAGGGGUCCCUUUACCUUUACCUUACCCUUGGCUAAACGGUAACAUGUUUAACAUCUGAAUCAUACAGAGGAAACUUGCUUAAGGUCGAUAGGGAAGGAAUUCCAUAAAUUGGCACUGCCACACUAAAUGCUCUCCUCCUGGUCGUUGUAGAGAGACCACUGUUUGACACUGUUAGCAGUGCCUUCCAUUGACAGGCAUAGUGUUCAAGUAGAGUUCAUGGAACAAUACAAUAUUCUAACACUUCCCAGGAAAUUAAGAAAGUGGAUCAAAGAUUCUUCAUGUACGCCACAGCUGCAGCAAGAAAUAUGCUUGCCCCAAACUGGAAAUUGCAAGAAAUUCCCACUAUUGCGGAGUGGCAGACGAAAAUGAUGAGUUAUGCAGAGUUAGCCAAACUGACGGGAAAAAUUCAAGACCAGGACGACCAGAGGUUUCAAGAAAGUUGGAGUAAAUUUAUCAUGUAUAUAAAAGGCAAUUGUAAAGCUUUAAAAACACUGGCAGGUUUGAAAUAGCUCUUAUAAUGUAUGGCAGAUAUGGUAAAUAAAUAGAAUACGUGAUACAAGAAAAUAAGGGAUACUCGCUGAAGGGAUGGAGGGAAGUUGCAAGCUCGGCAGAGCUAAAGUAUUUAUGUGAUUUACUGUAUUGUAUUGUAAAAGUAUGUUUAAGGAAAAUAAUAAAAAUUUAUUUGAGAAAAAGACAAUAUUCUAACACUUCCCAGUAACAUCUGGCUUUCUAGAUUUAAUUGGGCAUUGUCUUGUUCCAUGAACCCUACUUGAAAAGAAAUCGACUGGAUAUCACUAAACGAGGUGACUUGAGACUGCAGCUGACAAAAUUGGUGUUUAAUAUGAAAUCUCUCUGCAGCAGGCAUGAAGCACAAGGAUCUAACUAGCGAGCUCAAAUUGUAUUUUGAAUUUGUUAGGUACCUUUAUUUUAUUGUAUUGUAUAGCAUUUAAAAUGAUCAAAGUAUUAAAGAAAAAGCUUUCAUUAAAAUUAUUUUAUAUUUAUGCAUUUCAGUUCUCUAUUAUAUUUUUUGAAACUUGAUUUGCUAUUUUUUCAUAUCACUUCAUAUUACAAUUAAUUUUUUAACAAUUUCUUAGUGAUUUCUCCCUCGGUACUUCAACCAUCCUUUCGUUCUUUUAUUUUUCUCUUUCAUGGAUGCCAUGUUCUUUGGGAGCUUGUUUAGACCAGGUUAAUGGCCUUUUAGGCUUCUUCCAUGUGAACAGCAGUUCACUUUUUGAAUCAUAAGAAUUUUAUGUCACUGAGGGAGGGGAGCAUAAGGAUUUUAGAGAUGCUUAGGUGGGGCAUGGCCAAAAAAAGGUUGGGAACCACUGUUCUAACCUCUUCCUAUCUUGCUUGUUUUCCAUAGAAAUGGAUGCUUGUUGUAUGGAAGGACAUUCAACGAGAUGUGUCCAAACUUGUUGCCUCAAGUGACAGAGCCUAGGCAUGUGUUUACCACCUCAGUAAGAACCAGGACUAAGAACAACAAGGCCC